Molecule: long non-coding RNA, 1112 nt
Organism: Folsomia candida
Lineage: Eukaryota; Metazoa; Arthropoda; Collembola; Entomobryomorpha; Isotomidae
Exons: 4
Source: RefSeq, a predicted model, not a curated record
CGAAGGUCAGUUGUCAUCCGACUACGAAGUUGACAUCAUCUCUCGCAAAGUUCAAACCAUUUGUGCAUAAACUCGUGAAGUUUUGAGUAAUUUAAGCACAGCGAAAAUGCGAAAUUUACAUAAGGUUUCGUGUUUCAUCGCAUUAUUUUGUCUGGGGCGUUUGGCUCUCCUAUUGACAAAGGACAGAAAGUCGAUAAAACUGGAAUGCUUAUCUUCAGUCAUGCACUCAUAAACCACAAUCCUGCUCAUUUAUUGGUUCCAGAAAAUGACAAAAAUGACAAACCGAGUAUCACCUUUGUCCCCGAGAAAGUUGCAAAUCUUAUGGCACAAUCAGACCGCGUGCUCACCACCAUACCAAGGUACGCCAGGUUGGCAAACGUUUGGCGGCUGGAACUACCGCAAAACGCAGCGACUGACAUCCUAUGAACAGGCAAGGGCAUCAAUAAUUGUGACUUACUUACAUACAAUGGGCACGUGUAAUCUAGUUUUCUCCGAUUUUGACCGGUUUAGUUUUAAUUUGCACAAGCAGGUAACAAAUAACCCAUAUUUUUGGAUUUAUGGACAUUAUUCUCAUGUAUGUAUGUAUUCUACAUAUAGCUAGAUUUAUACAACUCAAAAUCACGAACCCAUUUGAUUACUAUUUUAAUAAUUAUUUAAUUACUAAAAAGCACUCAAGCAGGCCGAAAUCUAACUCAAACUUAAUACCACUAAAUUAACUACCUGUAUUACGUUCAACAAAAGAAUACAAACUGCGAGACUUGGUAGAAUUUUGUUGCAUUGUACUUACAUGCAUAUAAAUAUGUAAGAAAGUUGCGUAUAAAUUGGAUAAUGAAACCAAUAUUUUUUGUAGUGCUUACAACAAGGUAGAAGGCCCGAGUUCUGCAGUAACUUGAACCGUGGUGGAAAUUGGGAUACGAAUAUACCGUUUUGAUCCCGAAGAAAAAGGACCACUGGUUAGUAAAGAAUAAAAAUAAUACAAAUUAUCUGGAUACAUAUAUAUGUAAUUUACUCAGUUUCAUUGAAACUAAUUAAACAUAUUGGUAUGAUAACUAUGAUGUUAUGCUUAAUAUUUAUUAUUGUGAACAUGAGAAAGUAACGGUACGAAAAUUAAU